This 652-nucleotide ribosomal RNA is filed under the name Sticta caliginosa. RNAcentral describes it as "SSU rRNA". It matches the Rfam family "Bacterial small subunit ribosomal RNA", at positions 375 to 1093 of the family's 1533-position model. The record is from RNAcentral. Lineage: Eukaryota; Fungi; Ascomycota; Lecanoromycetes; Peltigerales; Lobariaceae.
GCAAUAGCUGAUUGCAUUUAAUUUAAUGUAGUUACUACUUGGUAGUUUAAAAUUCUAGGUAGAAUUAUGAUGAUGACAUUAUCUAUCUAUUAGUCUUGACCAAAUUACGUGCCAGCAGUCGCGGUAAUACGUAGAAGACAAGUGUUAUUCAUCUUUAUUAGGUUUAAAGCGUACCAAGACGGUUAAUAAAGCCCAAAAUAAAUGAAUACGGGGGACACAUUAACUAGAGUUAUAUGAAAGGAAGCUCUAAGGUACUGUUGAGUGUAGAGAUGAAAUUCUUUGAUACCAGAUGAUUGGCACAGAUUAAUGCGAAGGCAUCUUCUUAUGUAAUAACUGACGUUGUAGGACGAAGGCUUAGGAAGUGAACAGGAUUAGGUACCCCAGUAAUCUAGGCAGAAAAUGAUGAAUGUCAUAGGUUGAAUAUAUAUUAUUGUGUCUAUAAAUGAAAGUGUAAGCAUUCCACCUCAAGAGUAAUUUGGCAACAUUGGAACUGAAAUCAUUAGACCGUGUCUGAAACCAGUAGUGAAGUAUGUUGUUUAAUUAGAUGAUACACAAGAACCUUACCACAAAAUGAAUAUAUAUAAAAUAUAUUUACAAGCGCUGCACGGCUGUCUACAGUUAAUGUCGUGAGACUUUGGUUAGCUCCAGGAAA